AGGGGCAGCACGAAUGUAGCAAUACAUUGGUGGCGACCGGCGCACGGGUGAGUAACGCGUAUGCAACCUACCUAUCAGAGGGGAAUAACCCGGCGAAAGUCGGACUAAUACCGCAUAAAACAGGGGUUCCACAUGGAAAUAUUUGUUAAAGAAUUAUCGCUGAUAGAUGGGCAUGCGUUCCAUUAGAUAGUUGGUGAGGUAACGGCUCACCAAGUCCACGAUGGAUAGGGGUUCUGAGAGGAAGGUCCCCCACACUGGUACUGAGACACGGACCAGACUCCUACGGGAGGCAGCAGUGAGGAAUAUUGGUCAAUGGGCGAGAGCCUGAACCAGCCAAGUCGCGUGAAGGAUGAAGGAUCUAUGGUUUGUAAACUUCUUUUAUAUGGGAAUAAAGUGAGGAACGUGUUCCUUUUUGUAUGUACCAUAUGAAUAAGCAUCGGCUAACUCCGUGCCAGCAGCCGCGGUAAUACGGAGGAUGCGAGCGUUAUCCGGAUUUAUUGGGUUUAAAGGGUGCGUAGGUGGUUAAUUAAGUCAGCGGUGAAAGUUUGUGGCUCAACCAUAAAAUUGCCGUUGAAACUGGUUGACUUGAGUAUAUUUGAGGUAGGCGGAAUGCGUGGUGUAGCGGUGAAAUGCAUAGAUAUCACGCAGAACUCCGAUUGCGAAGGCAGCUUACUAAACUAUAACUGACACUGAAGCACGAAAGCGUGGGGAUCAAACAGG
RNAcentral lists this ribosomal RNA (720 nucleotides) under uncultured Bacteroidales bacterium. Its description in RNAcentral is "bacterial SSU rRNA". It matches the Rfam family "Bacterial small subunit ribosomal RNA", at positions 65 to 776 of the family's 1533-position model. The record is from RNAcentral. Lineage: Bacteria; Pseudomonadati; Bacteroidota; Bacteroidia; Bacteroidales.